UGUGGGUGAUAAGAUUCAUAGUCGAAAGGGCAACAGCCCAGAUCGUCAGCUAAGGUCCCUAAAUGUAAGUUAAGUGGUAAAGGAUGUGGGAUUGCACAGACAGCCAGGAUGUUGGCUUAGAAGCAGCCACUCAUUCAAAGAGUGCGUAAUAGCUCACUGGUCGAGUGAUCCUGCGCCGAAGAUUUCCGGGGCUAAAACUUACUAC
This 205-nucleotide ribosomal RNA is filed under the name Clostridioides difficile. Its description in RNAcentral is "partial 23S ribosomal RNA". It matches the Rfam family "Bacterial large subunit ribosomal RNA", at positions 990 to 1194 of the family's 2925-position model. The record is from RNAcentral. Lineage: Bacteria; Bacillati; Bacillota; Clostridia; Peptostreptococcales; Peptostreptococcaceae.